RNAcentral lists this unclassified non-coding RNA (1772 nucleotides) under Megachile rotundata (alfalfa leafcutting bee). RNAcentral describes it as "tOM1-like protein 2, transcript variant X3". The record is from RNAcentral. Lineage: Eukaryota; Metazoa; Arthropoda; Insecta; Hymenoptera; Megachilidae.
CUUUGACGGCUGCCUUUAUCAUCGUGUGGGUCAUAUGAUACUAUCAUUCAGUGGAAUAAUAAAUUUAUAAUUUACUAUCAAAUACUGUUCCUGUCAAAAUUUGGUACGUGCCUUAUAUAUGCACAAGUAAGUCAAACUAACAGCAUCCAGUAUUGAAACAGUUUUAUAUAUCGUACAACGAUGUCAUUUUUUGGAGUAAAUGUCAAUCCAUUUUCAACACCAGUAGGCCAAAAGAUAGAGCAAGCUACAGAUGGUAGUUUGCCAAGUGAAAACUGGACGCUUAAUAUGGAAAUAUGUGAUAUAAUAAAUGAAACAGAGGAUGGGCCAAGAGAUGCAAUUAAAGCAAUUAAGCGUAGACUCAAUCAAGCUGCAGGAAAGAAUUAUACUAUAGUCAUGUAUACUCUUACUGUACUAGAGACAUGCGUAAAAAAUUGUGGAAAGCGCUUUCAUGCUCUUGCUUGUUCGCGAGAGUUUAUACAAGAACUAGUUAAGUUAAUUGGACCAAAAAAUGAACCACCAACAGCAGUGCAAGAAAAAGUUCUAAGUUUAAUUCAAACAUGGGCAGAUACAUUCCGUCAUCAACCCCAUACUCAAGGAGUUGUACAGGUAUACCAAGAACUAAAACUGAAAGGUAUACAAUUUCCAAUGACAGAUUUAGAUGCCAUGGCCCCCAUUAUUACUCCAGAACGAAGCGUACCUGAAUCAGAACAAAGUGUUAUAAAUGUUUCUACGACUGAACAGCAAUCAAUAACAUCUACAACGUUACAAAAUCAGCAAUCUCAAAAUCAAUCUUCAGGACAGUUAACUCAGUUGAAUGAACAACAAAUGGCUAAAUUACAAAGUGAACUUGAUGUUGUACAAGGAAACAUGCAUGUUUUAUCAGAAAUGUUGGCAUAUUUUACCAGUUCUGAUCAAAACAAUAGCCAACAACCAGAUCCUGCUGAUUUUGAGCUCCUAACUGAACUUCAUUCUACAUGCAAAGCAAUGCAAGAACGAGUUGUGGAUUUAAUUGGAAAGUUAGCACAUGAUGAAAUGACAGCAGAAUUAUUACGCAUUAAUGAUGAGUUGAAUAAUUUAUUUUUGCGUUAUUCGCGUUACACAAAAAAUAAAGCUGUGGCUGCAAGUGCCAUUUUGGCACAAACAAUCGGUCACCCACCAAACAUGGAUACCGCUUCAUCAAAUACUAAAAAAGAAGCUGAUUCUCUUAUAGAUUUAUCAGAUGAAACUGAUACUUUAGAAAAUAAAAUUACAGGAAUGGACAUAUCUGACAAUGCAGAUAAAAAUAGGAUAGAUCGAAAAGAAAAGAAAGAAGGCGAUAGCGAUGAAUUUGAUAUGUUUGCACAGUCACGUAACACGACCUACGAAACUACAAAGAACAGUGGUAGCAAGUAUGAAGAUAAUUUGGAGCAGGUGAGCGGAGGAAGCCUCAGUACUGCGAUUCUCAACCGCAGUAAUCCUAAAUAUCCCCAACAGACUGCUUCUACAGUUGCUCCUACUACUGCUACUUCUGUGUGUAACCCCCGCUCUUACUAUAUUAAUUAUUAGAAAGCAUUUAGUUGAUAUUACUAACUAACUGAUAUAGCGUUGAUUAUUUAUUUAGUUUAAAAAGCAGUAAGUUUAAUAGAAAUUCAAGAAAGACUUUAUAUAAAUUUGAUCAUAUGAUAUUAAUAAUUUAGUUAUGAAUUUAUACAAAGAGCUUAGAAUUAUCUAUCUUAAUAGAGCUGAACCGGGAAUCUGAAUUUAAUGAAAUGGCAGCUUGGUUAGAUCAUACG